Maniola jurtina (meadow brown) is the source of this 310-nucleotide long non-coding RNA. RefSeq lists it as uncharacterized. Lineage: Eukaryota; Metazoa; Arthropoda; Insecta; Lepidoptera; Nymphalidae. The transcript has 2 exons. The record is from RefSeq and is a predicted model, not a curated record.
UUAGUUAGGUUUUGAAGAUUUUGACCUACAGUAGUCCGCCAUUUCUUUUUUUUCCAAAGUGACGGCCCCACAUAAAACCUCUAUUAAUCAAUAGCUGGCAUCAGUACAAACAAGUAUUGUAUGAGACAAAAUCUUCCAUAGUUUGCACUGGUGGAGUCAUCAGUACAACAGUCUAGCCACCAGUAUAACUUUGAUAAUAAUUCAUAUCUCGGGAACAUGACACUUUGAAAGAUUUUGUCUCAUACAAUACUUGUUUGUAUUGAUACCAGCUAUUGAUUAAUAUGCAGGUUUUAUGUGUGGCCGCUACUUU